UCUAACCGUGCAAAGGUAGCGCAAUCAAUUGUCUUUUAAAUGAAGACCUGUAUGAAUGGCAUAACGAGGGUUUAACUGUCUCUUUUUCCUGGCCAAUGAAACUGAUCUGCCCGUGCAGAAGCGGGCAUAAAAAUACAAGACGAGAAGACCCUGUGGAGCUUCAGACACUAACCAACCAUAACAACAACGAACUGACAACAGACCGAAAAAACUAAUGGUCCUGGUAAAAUGUCUUCGGUUGGGGCGACCGCGGUGAGAAAACAAAGCUCCCGAGUGGACUGGGACCCCCUCCUAAAACCUAGAGCCACACCUCAAAGUCUCAAAACAUUUGACCAAUAAUGAUCCGAUAUCUCGAUCAACGAACAAAGUUACCCCAGGGAUAACAGCGCAAUCCCCUCACAGAGCCCAUAUCGACGAGGGGGUUUACGACCUCGAUGUUGGAUCAGGACAUCCCAAUGGUGCAGCCGCUAUUAAAGGUUCGUUUGUUCAACGAUUAAAGUCCU
This 503-nucleotide ribosomal RNA is filed under the name Pellona flavipinnis (yellowfin river pellona). Its description in RNAcentral is "partial 16S ribosomal RNA". It matches the Rfam family "Bacterial large subunit ribosomal RNA", at positions 1941 to 2597 of the family's 2925-position model. Lineage: Eukaryota; Metazoa; Chordata; Actinopteri; Clupeiformes; Pristigasteridae. The record is from RNAcentral.